This 263-nucleotide ribosomal RNA is filed under the name uncultured bacterium. RNAcentral's name for it is "partial 16S ribosomal RNA". It matches the Rfam family "Bacterial small subunit ribosomal RNA", at positions 524 to 784 of the family's 1533-position model. The record is from RNAcentral.
CACGUGAGGGCGCAAGCGUUGUCCGGAAUUAUUGGGCGUAAAGAGCUCGUAGGCGGUCUGUUGCGUCUGCUGUGAAAACUCGGGGCUUAACCCCGAGCCUGCAGUGGAUACGGGCAGACUAGAGGUAGGUAGGGGAGAAUGGAAUUCCCGGUGUAGCGGUGAAAUGCGCAGAUAUCGGGAGGAACACCGGUGGCGAAGGCGGUUCUCUGGGCCGUUACCUGACGCUGAGACGCGAAAGCGUGGGGAGCGAACCGGGAUUGAGA